CUGGGAAUUUCUGUGUGCCACAUGUAUGGCCCUAAAUAGAAAAACAAACAUGCAUGUGUUCCCCAGACCUAGUUUUGCCUUGAUCUGGUUUAACAAAUGCUGGUGAUAAAC
Molecule: small nucleolar RNA, 111 nt
Filed under: Catagonus wagneri (Chacoan peccary)
Lineage: Eukaryota; Metazoa; Chordata; Mammalia; Artiodactyla; Tayassuidae
Description: Small nucleolar RNA SNORA72 (ENSCWAG00000020005.1)
Rfam family: Small nucleolar RNA SNORA72
About the family: U72 is a member of the H/ACA class of snoRNAs. The snoRNA gene is located in intron 4 of the ribosomal L30 protein gene in human, mouse and chicken.
Source: Rfam by way of RNAcentral